GAUGAACGCUAGCUAUAGGCUUAACACAUGCAAGUCGAGGGGAAACGAUAGAGAAAGCUUGCUUUUUCUAGGCGUCGACCGGCGCACGGGUGAGUAACGCGUAUCCAACCUGCCCACCACUUGGGGAUAACCUUGCGAAAGUAAGACUAAUACCCAAUGAUAUCUCUAGAAGACAUCUGAAAGAGAUUAAAGAUUUAUCGGUGAUGGAUGGGGAUGCGUCUGAUUAGCUUGUUGGCGGGGUAACGGCCCACCAAGGCGACGAUCAGUAGGGGUUCUGAGAGGAAGGUCCCCCACAUUGGAACUGAGACACGGUCCGAACUCCUACGGGAGGCAGCAGUGAGGAAUAUUGGUCAAUGGGCGAGAGCCUGAACCAGCCAAGUAGCGUGCAGGAUGACGGCCCUAUGGGUUGUAAACUGCUUUUAUAAGGGAAUAAAGUGAGUCUCGUGAGACUUUUUGCAUGUACCUUAUGAAUAAGGACCGGCUAAUUCCGUGCCAGCCGCCGCCGUAA
This 508-nucleotide ribosomal RNA is filed under the name uncultured bacterium. RNAcentral describes it as "partial 16S ribosomal RNA". It matches the Rfam family "Bacterial small subunit ribosomal RNA", at positions 28 to 523 of the family's 1533-position model. The record is from RNAcentral.